UGUACGUGUUCACUUAUUGGUUGUUUGUAAUAAAUAAGCAUGAAUUUGGGUUUAAGGGUGUAGGAAGUACUUGGACUCGAAAGGGUCUGUAGCUCAGUUGGUUAGAGCACACGCUUGAUAAGCGUGGGGUCGGUGGUUCAAAUCCACCCAGACCCACCACGAGGGGGUGUAGCUCAGCUGGGAGAGCACCUGCUUUGCAAGCAGGGGGUCAUCGGUUCGAUCCCGUUCACCUCCACCAAUUAAACUAGUUAGACUCAAAAAAUAAAUUCUGCUUUUUGUUCUUUAAAAAUAAAAAAUGGGUAAGAUUGUGUUUUGUAAAGCAUAAUCUAAAUCUAUAGUGUUGAUAAAUAUAACAAGUUCUUAUUUUUGUUAUUAAGUUUUCAAGAUUAUAGGAUCAAGUGAAUAAGUGCAUGUGGUGGAUGCCUUGGCGAUUACAGGCGAUGA
Molecule: transfer RNA, 444 nt
Filed under: uncultured Nitrosomonas sp.
Lineage: Bacteria; Pseudomonadati; Pseudomonadota; Betaproteobacteria; Nitrosomonadales; Nitrosomonadaceae
Description: partial 16S-23S ribosomal RNA intergenic spacer
Rfam family: tRNA (bases 83-156)
Source: RNAcentral